CCUACGGGAGGCUGCAGUGGGGGAUAUUGCACAAUGGGGGAAACCCUGAUGCAGCGACGCCGCGUGGGCGAAGAAGUAUUUCGGUAUGUAAAGCCCUAUCAGCAGGGAAGAAGAAAUGACGGUACCUGAGUAAGAAGCACCGGCUAAAUACGUGCCAGCAGCCGCGGUAAUACGUAUGGUGCAAGCGUUAUCCGGAUUUACUGGGUGUAAAGGGAGCGCAGGCGGCACGGCAAGCCUGAUGUGAAAGCCCGGGGCCCAACCGCGGGACUGCAUUGGGAACUACCGGGCUGGAGUGCCGGAGAGGUAGGCGGAAUUCCUAGUGUAGCGGUGAAAUGCGUAGAUAUUAGGAGGAACACCAGUGGCGAAGGUGGCCUACUGGACGGUGACUGACGCUGAGGCUCGAAAGCGUGGGGAGCAAACAGGAUUAGAUACCCGGGUAGUC
This 442-nucleotide ribosomal RNA is filed under the name uncultured bacterium. Its description in RNAcentral is "partial 16S ribosomal RNA". It matches the Rfam family "Bacterial small subunit ribosomal RNA", at positions 338 to 795 of the family's 1533-position model. The record is from RNAcentral.